UGCCUCUGCCCCGAGCGCCCCGCGCGGCGGGAGGCCUCCUCUCUGCGGCCCCUUUUUCCGGCCUCAUCCGGCUCCGGUGAGUCAGCGCUGAGCAGCCGGGGCGGGCGUGGCUGGGAGUGGGCCGUGGAAGGGGAGGCUCCGCCCGCAGAGGCCGCCGAGGAGGCCGCGUGGUCCCAGGAGGAAACUUUCAAAGGUGUUUCUGCAACAUAGCUCCAGCUGGAGGUGCUGCUUAAACUCUUCAAGGUCAAGAUGAAUCAAACUCAGAGGAGGCUUUACCCCUGGACCAUGCAAGCUCCUGAGGUCUGGGAGGAACUGCUGACAGUGAAAGUGGAGAUGGAAAGUCGCCUCCCAAUGCAGGAAUCCCGACUGAGAUGGAGUAAUCCCCUCAGGGAUUUUUAACCGAGGGAAAUUUAUCUGAAAGCACUUUCGACAGGAGAUCCCUGGGCCCUGCGAGGCCCUCACCUGGCUCUGGGAGCUGUGUCAACACUGGCUGCGCCCUGAGACCCACAGCAAGGAGCAGAUCCUGGAGCUGCUGGUGCAGGAACUGUUUCUGAUCAUCCUCCCGAGAAGCUCCAGGCCUGGGUGCAGGAGCAGCACCUCGAGAGUGGGGACAAAGUGGUGGCUACCAUGCUGGUGGACCUGGAGAGGGAGCUAGAUGAAUCACAGCAUGAGGUGGUAGCUACACACAGGGGCAAGAAGUCCUCUCCAGAGGGACAGUGCCUCUGGGACAGCAGACAUCACUGAGGCUUCAGUCCCAGCCCAGAGGACCCCAGCCCACAUGGGAUGCUGCUCAGGAGGCCCAUCCCUGGAGAGACAGCCAUCUUUUCCUUUAUUCUGCCUUCCAAGCUGUAUCUAGAACCUACUGGGGACUCCUUUCUUCAGGACGCACAUCUGAGCAUGUCCUUGCUCCCAUCUGCCCAUUGCUCGCCGCCUCCCUCCAUCCAGUCAUCCAUUAAGCAUCGAAUAUGGCUGCUGGAGAGCACCCAAGGGCUCUCUUACAGGACUGUCACUACAGAUAUUUUCUGGCAAGUUUCUAUACGAAGUAUGAUCCGACUCACUUCAUCCUAAACACAGCUUCUCUCCAGAGUGUGCUAAUUCCUAAAAUGCCACAGCUACAUGGUGAUCGGAUCUUUGGAAUUAAUAAGUAUUGAAUUGUUUUGAAACAGAAAAAAUUUUUAUAGCUACUGAGUUUUCUGUAAGGAAGGAGUGGUUAGUAAACUGCACUGCUUCUGUGAUAAUAUGAAAUGAGAAGUAUUUACAUUGGAGGGCCAGUUGCUGGUUCUUUAUAAACUGUUUUGAAGUGCAGUAUUUACUGAAAAAUGCAUAUGGUAUCUUUCUGAAGAGAGGCUUUAUAGGCAAGCUGGGCAGGUCCAGCUUAUAAGUUAAAUCACUGUAAAGUGAGGGUACAAUAGAUAAAUCUGAGGAAAUAAGAGAUUUAUAAGACACUAAGACCAGCUUAGUUUAUAAUGAGGAGGAGUUCUGUUAGGAGAAGAAAAUUUCCAAUCAUUCAGUCAGUUUAAGCAGAUAUACAUGUAAACCAGAAUCAUCUCUUUACAAGUUUAUUAUAAUUUUUAUUACCAUGUAUAUUCCUCUUAUGUUAUUUAAGAGGAUAUUUCCCUCUUGCUUUAUAUAGCCCAAUCCCUACGUUAUGAUUAUACUUUUUUGCUUUUACUGGUUCAACAUUAUAUUGAUGGAUGAGGUCAUUUUUACAUGUAUUAAGUUACUGAGUUCAUGAAGGCCCACCUUCAUGACUGGUGAUAGAAGACAGCCAGGCAUUUUACAAAUAGCCUCUGAGUCAGCUUUGUAAUUUUGGAACAGAAUGGGUUUUAUUGCCUUUCCAGACACAAGGCUGCAAAAUCAAUUUAGAAAAUAAUUUAUUUUACAGUUAAAAUAUAUGGUAGUUUAAAGGUGUCUGCUUAUUUGGUUCAUCAGUCUAAUUGUUAAAGUCUGCUGUUGUUUAGAAAAGGAAACAUAAAAUGGACAAGUAUAUGGCCAGCUUGUGGUCUAGCAGAAACUGCUUCUCUAGCAGUAAUACCAAAGUAAAUAGUGGAGUCUUCUCUAGCAGAUCUGCAGUAUAAGAAAACAUUGUCUUUUCUUAGACUCUCCGAUCUCAGUCCUCAUAUAUUGCCCAUUAAUGUUUUGCCUUUCAUUACAUAGGUCUUAGUCUUAGUGUAGAUUAACUCAGAGUGGUAACUGUUUCCAAAGCAGCAGCCAUAUUAAAUUCUAUAUAUUUAGAUAUUAGAUUCUCUAUAGAGAAUCUUCCUAUAGUUGACAUUAAUUGCCAGAAAUAACUAUAUACUACUUUGAGAAGAAGACAGUCAAAAAUAAAGUUCUGAUGUGGGAUGAAACUGAAAAAUCCAGUAAUAUUUGUAAACUUGAGUGAAAAGAGUUACAGACCAACUGAAAAAUCAAUUUGUUUCAAUAAAGUGACUUUGGGGGGUAAUGAUCAUUGUUUUGUAUUUCUGAAGUAUUGAGUUUAGAAAUCAGUUGUAUAAUAAUGCUUUUGUAUAUUUGUCUUUUCCCUUGUAUUUUUAAACCAGUAAUCUAUAUAAAUAAAUUUUUCUUUCAUGUAAGAUUCUUGCAAAUUUCCAAAUUGAGUCAGCAAUGUCAUAGUUAUUUUUCAAGGUUUUUUUAAGCAACUGAAUUUGUAAAAUUAAUGUAGUUAAAAAUACUCCUUUUUCUUUAUAUUAAAGACUUACAUUUUUUGCACAGACUUCAGAAAUAGAAGUCUACUUCUGUUAAUACAGGCCUUCUGCUUUUUUCCCCACUUUUUACGCUUCAAUGUUUUAAAAAUAUUCAGAUAUUUGAGGGCUCACUCUAGUAUAGGUAUUGUUUUAAGUAUUGUGUCUAGGGCAGCCCUGGUGGCCCAGCAGUUUAGCAUCGCCUUCAGCCCAGGGUGUGAUCCUGGAGACUAGGGAUCGAGUCCCACGUUGGGCUCCCUGCAUGGAGCUUGUUUCUCCCUUUGCCCUGUGUCUCUGCCUCUCUUUCUCUCUCUCUCUGUGCCUCUCACAAAUAAAUAAAAUCUUUUUUAAAAAUAAGUAUUUGGCUAUAGUUUGUAAGCAAGACAAACCAAAUCUUUUCCCAUAUAAGCUUACGUUCAAAUUGGAGAUCAGGUAAAAAAAUGAACCAAAACAUAGUAUUUCAUGUAGUGAUAAAUGCCAUGGGAAAAAAAUUAAGCAGGUAAAAGGCAGGGGAGCAUACCUCAGAAGGGUCUUCCCUAAUAUUCCUAAGGUUAUUUUUGGGCUAGAAAGGAGUAAUAAGAAGGAUGAGAAUGGUAACAAAUGAGUUCAGAGAAGUAGGUAAGAGUCAGAUCAUAUAGGCCUCUUUGGCCAAAGUAAUAAGCAAAUUUUCUUCUAAGCUAGACAAAGCCAUUGGAUAGUUUUACAUAAAUGAUUAAAGGGAUCUGAUUUUUUUUUUCUUUUAAGUUUACUGGCUAAUGCUGAGAAUAAAGUAUACGUGAAUAGGAAGGAGGAAGAAUAGUUGGGAAACUACUACAGGCAAGAGGUAGCUCAGACUAGGGGAAUGGCUGAUAGAGUGGUUGGGAAGUGGUCAAAUUUGGGAUACGCUUUUUUGUUCCUUUUUUUUUAAGAUUUUAUUUAUUUAUUCAUGAGAGAGAGAGGUUGAGGGAGAAACAGGCUCCAUGCAGGGAGCCUGACGUGGGACUCCCACAAAGUCCUGGGACUUUAGGAUCACGCCCUGGGCUGAAGGCAGGUGCUAAACCACUGAGCCACCCAAGGAUCUCUACUUUUUUGUUCUUAACACCCAGGUGAACUUCCAAUUUCUCAAGUUUGUACAGUUUAAUGUAAAAAAAAAAAAUAAUUUUUCUAAAAAUAAAAUCUAUUAUGACUAUUACUUGGAACAAAACUAAUUGCUAUGCUAUAAUGGCUCCUAAUUUCAAGUCAGGAUACAAUGGCAGUUUCCUUUUUUUUUUUUUUUUUUUUUUACAAUGGCAGUUUCUAAAUGUGCAUGAGCUCAGAAGUGCCACUAAUUUUAGCAUUCAUUGGUGAAUUUUCCGUGCAACAAAGAUUACUGUGGAGUUCCAUGGUGGUUUUCUUCUUUCCUGUUCCUUCUACAUUUAUUGGAAUUCUCUAAGGAUGAUUUUUUUUUUCCUUUUCCUUAUAUUCAAUCUUUUUUUUUUUUUAAGAUUUUAUUUACUUAUUCAUGAGAGACAGAAAGAGGAAGAGACACAGGCAGAUGGAGAAGCAGGCCCCAUGCUGAGAGCUCGAUGUGGGACUUGAUCCCAGGACCCAGGACCAUACCCUGGGCUAAAGGCAGGCACCAAACCAUUGAGCCACCCAGUGAUCCUUCAUUCGUAUUAUUUUGGACUUACAGAUACCUUAUUCUUUGGUUUACAAUUCAUUAUUAUCAUUAUUAAUCUAUUUUUCAAAUGGUUCUCCAGAUUUUGCCAUUCGAAGUCAAAGUUCCCAGUGUUAAUUUCCAAGUUGGUUUCUGUAUCUUUUUGACCUGUCUCUCCUUUUUUUCUUAAGUGUAGAACUAUGUGUUUUAGGUUUAUGGCACUAUAGUCUUCUAAACUGUAAAUAUCCUAAGGGGCAUAAUAAUAUUUCCUUAACUAAUACCUUAGUAUGAAUUAGUAUUCCUUAGUAUUAGUAUUUCCUUAACUAAUACCUUAGUAUGUAUUAGCCUUAUGGAGUUGCAUGAUGCUAACAGUUGGAAAAGACCUUAGAGGCUAUAUAAUUUAAAUUCCUUAAUCUUACCUUGAAUUUUUAUUAACCAUCACACCUUCACUCAGUUCUGUGUUAGUGCUAAUAAAGGAAGACUUCUUAAAAUAUAUAUAUAUGUGUGUGUGUGUGUGUGUGUGUGAAGUUUGGGCAGAAGGGCAGUACUGAUCCCACUUGUGGCCCAUUUCUUCUCUGCAGACACAUUUCUGUUUUCCAAACCUGUUGCCAUCCUUCAGCUAUAAGGACUGAGAGAACCAUGGUCUGACAACAGAGGAGUACUCAGAGGUACUUGUUCAGGGGUGUGAGGGAGGGACAGGACAGUUAGCUGUGGGAGAAAGCUGGAUGUUUUGAUAAAGAGAAGGGCUGGGGCUGUUUUCCCUGGGCUUUCUGGUUUGCAAGAUAGAAGUCUGUUAGUUGGGAAGCUCCAUGGAAGCUUUCUAGUUGUGAUCUGAAACUAGCCCCUCCUUGGGGGGCAGGGAGAGACCCAGGAAAGAGGGAAGCUGGUGGUGUUCCCAAGCAAAGGAGGCUCACAGGUGAGGCUCUUCCCAGGUGGUGGCAGAAUGAGUAGAUACCCACACCCACCAGCCAGAUCUGAAAAGUAAUGUAGAGG
Molecule: long non-coding RNA, 5289 nt
Filed under: Canis lupus familiaris (dog)
Lineage: Eukaryota; Metazoa; Chordata; Mammalia; Carnivora; Canidae
Description: lncRNA (ENSCAFG00845016612.1)
Source: RNAcentral